UACGAAGGGGGCUAGCGUUGCUCGGAAUCACUGGGCUUAAAGGGUGCGUAGGCGGGCCCGUCAGUCAGGGGUGAAAUCCCACGGCCCAACCGUGGAAGUGCCUCUGAUACUGCGGGCCUGGAGGGGGAUAGGGGCGUGCGGAACUUCCGGUGGAGCGGUGAAAUGCGUAGAUAUCGGAAGGAACACCGGUGGCGAAAGCGGCGCGCUGGAUCCCUACUGACGCUGAGGCACGAAAGCCAGGGGAGCAAACGGG
Molecule: ribosomal RNA, 253 nt
Filed under: uncultured bacterium
Lineage: Bacteria
Description: partial 16S ribosomal RNA
Rfam family: Bacterial small subunit ribosomal RNA
Source: RNAcentral